GCCGGAAUAGCUCAGUUG
RNAcentral lists this transfer RNA (18 nucleotides) under Blepharostoma trichophyllum. RNAcentral describes it as "partial tRNA-Phe". RNAcentral also lists the same sequence under 37 other names. The record is from RNAcentral. Lineage: Eukaryota; Viridiplantae; Streptophyta; Jungermanniopsida; Jungermanniales; Blepharostomataceae.